Xenopus laevis (African clawed frog) is the source of this 1300-nucleotide long non-coding RNA. RefSeq lists it as uncharacterized. The record is from RefSeq and is a predicted model, not a curated record. The transcript is spliced from 4 exons. Lineage: Eukaryota; Metazoa; Chordata; Amphibia; Anura; Pipidae.
AGCUCCCUGGCACCACUAUGUCUGGACUGUAAUUCCUCUGAGUAGAUUUAUGUAGGAAAGUCUAAUGAGACCCCGGCUCUAACUUGCCUGCUCUCCAGUCUAACCACACAGGCUCACCGACUCUCUUCCUUAAAGCUCUCCACUUUCCCACCAUGAAUAUUUGCCAAGUGGAUACAAUACAUCGAGGACUCUGUGACGUUCCUACAACCUCAACAAAUAUUCUAAAAUAUUCCACUUUAUAAAAUAUGUGACUAUUUUUUACAUAGAAUUCAUGAUAAAUCUUAAUUCAUUGCUAAGGCUUAGGCUGAACAGCAAUGAUCAUGAAUUUGUCGCAAAGCAGAUUAUAUUAUUUUUGUAUUUAACGAAAAAAGGGGGAUAUAUCUGGCAAAAUUCUUUAAAAAAAAUACAAUGAAGUUGGAGAAACAAAACUAAAAAAAUUCAACUUUUUUCCAACAUGAUUUGGACUUGGACGAAAUAUUGAUUUGAUUAUCGGCGUCAGGUUUUAUCUUUUAUGUUCAAGAAGAGACAAGACCCGGUGUAUCUUCAGGAAUUCUAAAAUCAAAAAGAGUGGAAGCUGGUGAAGUAUAUGUGGUUGUGUGAGGAACGUACGAUAGAAUAAUCUGUUCCAUAACUACAAUCACGUGUGUCUCAUAUACUCCUCCCACAGCCCUAAUAAAUGUGGGGCUACAGUUGAUUCCAACAUGAUUAGAAGCAAGACGGCCCUACAACAACAACAACAAACUACUUGCACAACACAGUUGACUUGCCUUUUCAGAACCUCAGCCCACUGUAAAUGGAAGGAGCCAUAUCAGAUACGAAGCAAUCGUUGCCUUUCGUCCAUCACAAAUUCCAAGGAAGAGAAGAAUGGAAGGGUCAACAAGAAGGUCCCAGCUCCAGUUCUGCACACGUAUCAAUGAAAUGCGUUGAGACUGGAGAUCACAUUUCUAUGAAUUUUGGCCUGGUUAUAUUUUAGAAGCAAUACAAUUUAGUAUGGAAUCUGGAUUUUGCUUUUUUUUGGGGAUCCUCCUUGGGUCAAAGCACUUAAAGUGGAUUACAAACCCUUCCCAUUGGAGUAGAGAUAAUGGAAAACGAUGGAGGAAACAGGGUUGGAAACACAUGGAAUUGGAUUACAAAGCUCAUUGGAUUUACUUGUUUCAAAAAUGUGUUGUUUUUGAUGGAUCUUUAUUUAUUCAAACUAAAGACAAAAGGUCUCCAGGGAAUGUGGCCGUAGAGGAAUAUUCUUGAAUCAGAUACUCCCACAGUCCAUUGAAACUUGGCACCGCAUCCAGUGGCAGCACCA